RNAcentral lists this ribosomal RNA (372 nucleotides) under uncultured bacterium. RNAcentral describes it as "bacterial SSU rRNA". It matches the Rfam family "Bacterial small subunit ribosomal RNA", at positions 28 to 402 of the family's 1533-position model. The record is from RNAcentral.
GACGAACGCUGGCGGCGUGCCUAACACAUGCAAGUCAACUUGACUGAAGGAGCAAUCUGACAGUAGAGUGGCGCAAGGGUGCGUAACGCGUAAGUAACUUGCCCAAGGUAAGGAAUAACGUCGAGAAUCGGCGCUAAUACCUCAUAAUGCAGCGGAUCCGCAUGGAUAUGUUGUUAAAGGUUUACCGCCUUGGGAUAGGCUUGCGUCUGAUUAGCUAGUUGGUGUGGUAACGGCACACCAAGGCUACGAUCAGUAACUGGUCUGAGAGGAUGAUCAGUCACACUGGAACUGAGACACGGUCCAGACUCCUACGGGAGGCAGCAGUGAGGAAUAUUGGGCAAUGCUCGAAAGAGUGACCCAGCAACGCCGCGU